UAACCUACCCAUCAGAAGGGGAUAACACUUGGAAACAGGUGCUAAUACCGCAUAACAGUUUAUGCCGCAUGGCAUAAGAGUGAAAGGCGCUUUCGGGUGUCGCUGAUGGAUGGACCCGCGGUGCAUUAGCUAGUUGGUGAGGUAACGGCUCACCAAGGCCACGAUGCAUAGCCGACCUGAGAGGGUGAUCGGCCACACUGGGACUGAGACACGGCCCAG
RNAcentral lists this ribosomal RNA (219 nucleotides) under uncultured bacterium. RNAcentral's name for it is "partial 16S ribosomal RNA". It matches the Rfam family "Bacterial small subunit ribosomal RNA", at positions 122 to 334 of the family's 1533-position model. The record is from RNAcentral.